This 584-nucleotide non-coding RNA is filed under the name Pan troglodytes (chimpanzee). The record is from RNAcentral. Lineage: Eukaryota; Metazoa; Chordata; Mammalia; Primates; Hominidae.
AGGCAUCCAACCAUGAUGAGGUACCUUGUUGAACAAACUAACUCUGCCACUAAGAACGAUGAAAGCUGUUUAAAAAAAUAAAUAAGUCUGUUGAAAACAAUUGGAGAGCAACCCUGUCAUCCAAGGCUUGAGAGUCCACGAGCCCCCCAGGAAGAAGAGAAAUACUCUGAAUGUCAGUACGGGGUCUAUCACAUAGUGGAAUUAAUGAGGAAACAGACUCAAAAAGGAUUUUGGCUUGCUCAGGGUCACACAGCUUGUAUGAGGCAGUGCUGUAAUUCAAAGCCAGCAAGAACCAUGAAACAGGUCUUAUAAAAAGAAAAAAAUUACAAUUCUGGAGGUGACCUAGUUGGAAGCCUGAAAUUCCAUGUUGUGAAACAACUAGAGGCCGGCCCUCUGAUCCUUUCUCUGGAUGUGCUGAAUUCAGCAGGGUGGAAGUGCUAAAACCAGGAGGAGCAAUGAAGUCAGUGUUGAGAAGAACAUGCAGCUGAGAAGCCAAGUGGGAGACCGGGACACUGCUCUGAUUGAGGAUAAUGUAUGUUACACUGUACCCACUCCGUUAAGCACAAUAAAUCUCCUUUUUCUUG